CCUACGGGAGACAGCAGUGAGGAAUAUUGGUCAAUGGGCGGAAGCCUGAACCAGCCAAGUAGCGUGCAGGAUGACGGCCCUACGGGUUGUAAACCGCUUUUAUACGGGAACAACGCGCCUUACGUGUAGGGCUUUGCAUGUACCGUAAGAAUAAGGAUCGGCUAAUUCCGUGCCAGCAGCCGCGGUAAUACGGAAGGUCCGGGCGUUAUCCGGAUUUAUUGGGUUUAAAGGGUGAGGAGGCCGCAGGGCAAGCUUGCGGUGAAAUUGCGGGGCACAACCCCGGCCUUCCGGGGAAACUGGGUGCCUUGAGUGAGCGAGAAGGAGGCGGAAUGCGUGGGGGAGCGGGGAAAUGCAUAGAUAUGACGAAGAACCCGGAUUGCGAAGGCAGCAUACCGGCGCGCAACGGACGCGGAGGCACGAAAGCGUGGGUAUCGAACAGGAGUAGAUACCCUUGUAGUC
RNAcentral lists this ribosomal RNA (459 nucleotides) under uncultured bacterium. Its description in RNAcentral is "partial 16S ribosomal RNA". It matches the Rfam family "Bacterial small subunit ribosomal RNA", at positions 338 to 795 of the family's 1533-position model. The record is from RNAcentral.